CAAUAGCGUAUAUUAAAGUUGUUGCAGUUAAAAAGCUCGUAGUUGAAUUUUUGCUUGCCGCCGAUGUCGGAACUUCCGUACGUUCGGCGGCGUGCAUCCUUGGGUGGAACCUGUGUGGCAUUAGGUUGUCGUGCAGGGGAUGCUCAUCGUUUACUGUGAAAAAAUUAGAGUGUUCAAAGCAGGCUUACGCCGUUGAAUAUAUUAGCAUGGAAUAAUAAGAUAGGACCUUGGUACUAUUUUGUUGGUUUGCGCACCGAGGUAAUGAUUAACAGGGACAGUUGGGGGUAUUCGUAUUCCAUUGUCAGAGGUGAAAUUCUUGGAUUUCUGGAAGACGAACUACUGCGAAAGCAUUUACCAAGGAUGUUUNCAUUA
This 372-nucleotide ribosomal RNA is filed under the name uncultured eukaryote. RNAcentral describes it as "partial 18S ribosomal RNA". It matches the Rfam family "Eukaryotic small subunit ribosomal RNA", at positions 592 to 975 of the family's 1831-position model. The record is from RNAcentral.